AACGCGAAGAACCUUACCUGGGCUCGAAGUGCUACUGACCAGCGGCAGAAACGUCGCCUUCUCGCAAGAGACAGUAGUAGAGGUGCUGCAUGGCUGUCGUCAGCUCGUGCCGUGAGGUGUUGGGUUAAGUCCCGCAACGAGCGCAACCCUUACUCUUAGUUGCCACCCGCAAGGGGGAACUCUAAGAGGACUGCUCCGGAUAACGGAGAGGAAGGUGGGGAUGACGUCAAGUCAGCACGGCCUUUAUGUCCAGGGCUACACACGUGUUACAAUGCAUGGUACAAACUGUUGCGAUCCCGCGAGGGGGAGCUAAUCGGAGAAAACCAUGCUCAGUUCGGAUUGCAGUCUGCAACUCGACUGCAUGAAGCUGGAAUCGCUAGUAAUGGCGUAUCAGAACGACGCCGUGAAUACGUUCCCGGGCCUUGUA
RNAcentral lists this ribosomal RNA (427 nucleotides) under uncultured Acidobacteriota bacterium. Its description in RNAcentral is "bacterial SSU rRNA". It matches the Rfam family "Bacterial small subunit ribosomal RNA", at positions 958 to 1385 of the family's 1533-position model. The record is from RNAcentral. Lineage: Bacteria; Pseudomonadati; Acidobacteriota.